UGUUAAAAGGACAGGAGCAUGAUGGGGAAAUGCAAGCUGUUUCCAGAAUGGAAAGAAUUGCAUUAUGCUGCUAAAACAACUUCGGCUCUUUAGCCGAUGGAUGCAUGGAUGGAGGCAUAGGAUGAUUGAUGAAGAAGUGGGACACUGAUGACCCGGCUCUCAGUACUUCAUCUCAAGCCGUGCUGUCUGGUGGAAGGAAUAACAGCAACAGCUCAGCCUGGCAUCACCAACCUAUGCUCCACAGCUCAUCCAAGGGUCAUAAACUUGUAUAACCUGGACUAAGGGAAGAUGGGGACGUAGGGUCAUGAAAACAUCUUGGCUUUAAACUCCUGGCUUGUGGACUGCUACAGUAACAGAAAUGAGCCCUCUAACUAAAGAAAAGGUUAUGAAAAGUGAUUCACA
Oreochromis niloticus (Nile tilapia) is the source of this 402-nucleotide long non-coding RNA. RefSeq lists it as uncharacterized. The record is from RefSeq and is a predicted model, not a curated record. NCBI's taxonomy places the organism in Eukaryota, Metazoa, Chordata, Actinopteri, Cichliformes, Cichlidae. The transcript is spliced from 3 exons.